CAAAGAUAUACAAGCUUUAUAUAAGCCAAAAAAAAACCAACAAGUGGAACUUUUCAGGAGGGAGAACCUAACUGGUGCAAAUGAAAAGACCAUUUUAAACACUAUUCUUGACGAUGCUGGGAUUCAGAGGCCAUUGUCAAGUUUUCGAUGAGGACCAAGAUUAGUUCCCAAGUCAGCCUCCAGAACAUGAAACAGACCUAGCUUUUAUACAUUCAGUAAUGUGAUAUAUAUAUAUAUAUAUAUAUAUAUAUAUAUAUAUAUAUGGGAUUCCCUUCAUAAGGGAUUGUCCAAUUUUUAAUGUGAUAAUAUGUACAAAGAGUUAGUGAUGAAUAUUUUAUUCAUAUUUUUGUGCCAAACUUUAUAAAUGAUUGAUUGUUUGAUGUUUUCCGCCACGCUCAACAAUUUUUCAGUUAUCUGGUGGCACCCAGUUUUUAUUGGUGGAAGAGAGAACCCAGAUACAAUGUACCUUGGAAGAGACCACCGACCUUCCGAAAGUAAACUGGGAAACUUUCUCACUUACCGGCGUGAGCGGGAUUCGAACCCGCGCCGACAGAGGUGAGAGGCCAUGUGAUUUGGAGCGCGAUGCUCUAACCACUGGGCCACCUUUAUAAAUGAAAUUAAUAUACCAAUAAUAGUCGCUGUUUAUAAUCGGUAAUGUCUUAUUAUCCCCAUCUUUUUUGUAACUUUUCCAUAACUUUUGUCGGGUAUAACUUUCUUGUAACUUUUCCAUAACUUUUGUCGGGUAUAACUUUUUUGUAACUUUUCCAUAACUUUUGUCGGGUAUAACUUUUAUGUAACUUUCUCCAUAACUUUUGUUGGGUAUAACUUUUUUGUAACUUUUCCAUAACUUUUGUCGGGUAUAACUUUUUUGUAACUUUUCCAUAACUUUUGUCAGGUAUAACUUUUUUGUAACUUUUCCAUAAAUUUUGUCAGGUAUAACUUUUUUGUAACUUUUCCACAAUUUUUGUUGGGUAUAACUUUUUUGUAACUUUUCCAUAACUUAAGUAUAACUUUUUGAUAACUUUUGUGAAGUAUAACUUUUUUGAAGUAUAACUUUUUGAUAACUUUUAUGCACUUGUUGUAUUCAUGUUGAAAUAAAAGAUGAUAACUUA
This is a long non-coding RNA of Ostrea edulis (European flat oyster), 1112 nucleotides long. RefSeq lists it as uncharacterized. Lineage: Eukaryota; Metazoa; Mollusca; Bivalvia; Ostreida; Ostreidae. The record is from RefSeq and is a predicted model, not a curated record. The transcript is spliced from 2 exons.